CCAGGAGCAGGGGAUGAAAUAAAAUACAAAUGCAGAAGAACUGUAAUGGCUGCUUAAAGGAAUUCUUAAGUCUCCCACGACAUCUAGGGAGUUGGGACUUGGAUUUGAACAACUUUAUUUCAUAGACAUUGGGGUCUGACUACUUUAGUGAGCAAAGCUUUAGUUCACUAACUAUUAUGGUGGUCCCUUUGAAUCUCAAGAGGAGGCCAGGAGCUAAGUCUCAGCUCAAGUGUGAGGAAAACGGAGCUCACAGCACCAAAUAUUUCCUGCUGUUUGGAGGCUGAUUCUGACCUACAGCAGGCAUGGUAAGACUUGUCAAGUUCUUCCUCAUAUCUGGCUAU
Molecule: long non-coding RNA, 341 nt
Filed under: Rhinopithecus bieti (black snub-nosed monkey)
Lineage: Eukaryota; Metazoa; Chordata; Mammalia; Primates; Cercopithecidae
Description: lncRNA (ENSRBIG00000045966.1)
Source: RNAcentral